GAGGAAUCUCAAUCUGGUUGUAGGGGUACAGUGAUCAGGUUACGAUGGAUUUCUCAAGUAACAACCUCGUAGCUCGGUCACGAUAUCCAUAUGACUCGAAGAGCAACAAUUUUGGUCCCGUUCCUC
RNAcentral lists this microRNA precursor (126 nucleotides) under Ornithorhynchus anatinus (platypus). Its description in RNAcentral is "microRNA oan-mir-1329 precursor". The stretch from base 14 to 98 matches the Rfam family "mir-1329 microRNA precursor family". Lineage: Eukaryota; Metazoa; Chordata; Mammalia; Monotremata; Ornithorhynchidae. The record is from miRBase by way of RNAcentral.